CGUUAGUACGGCGAGUGAGCGGUAAAAGCUCAAAUUUGAAAUCUGGUACUUUCAGUGCCCGAGUUGUAAUUUGUAGAAUUUGUCUUUGAUUAGGUCCUUGUCUAUGUUCCUUGGAACAGGACGUCAUAGAGGGUGAGAAUCCCGUUUGGCGAGGAUACCUUUUCUCUGUAAGACUUUUUCGAAGAGUCGAGUUGUUUGGGAAUGCAGCUCAAAGUGGGUGGUAAAUUCCAUCUAAAGCUAAAUAUUGGCGAGAGACCGAUAGCGAACAAGUACAGUGAUGGAAAGAUGAAAAGAACUUUGAAAAGAGAGUGAAAAAGUACGUGAAAUUGUUGAAAGGGAAGGGCAUUUGAUCAGACAUGGUGUUUUUUGCAUGCACUCGCCUCUCGUGGGCUUGGGCCUCUCAAAAAUUUCACUGGGCCAACAUCAAUUCUGGCAGUAGGAUAAAUCAUUAAGAAUGUAGCUACCUCGGUAGUGUUAUAGCUUAUUGGAAUACUGCUAGCUGGGAUUGAGGACUGCGCUUCGGCAAGGAUGUUGGCAUAAUGGUUAAAUGCCGCCCGUCUUG
This 562-nucleotide ribosomal RNA is filed under the name Hanseniaspora opuntiae. RNAcentral describes it as "eukaryotic LSU rRNA". It matches the Rfam family "Eukaryotic large subunit ribosomal RNA", at positions 78 to 656 of the family's 3401-position model. Lineage: Eukaryota; Fungi; Ascomycota; Saccharomycetes; Saccharomycodales; Saccharomycodaceae. The record is from RNAcentral.